This 1214-nucleotide ribosomal RNA is filed under the name Lachnospiraceae bacterium RM5. Its description in RNAcentral is "Bacterial large subunit ribosomal RNA". It matches the Rfam family "Bacterial large subunit ribosomal RNA", at positions 1506 to 2733 of the family's 2925-position model. The record is from Rfam by way of RNAcentral. Lineage: Bacteria; Bacillati; Bacillota; Clostridia; Lachnospirales; Lachnospiraceae.
ACCGGUGCAAGCGAGGUACCUGUAUGGUAGGCAAAUCCGCCAUACAAAGGGAAGACGUGAUGCGGAGUGAACUAAAAGUAACGAAGUCCAUGAGCUAGCUGUCAAGAAAAGCCGCUAUUGUUUAUAUAGUACCCGUACCCCAAACCGACACAGGUGGAUGAGGAGAGAAUCCUAAGGCCGACGGAAGAAGUAUUGUUAAGGAACUCGGCAAAAUGACUCCGUAACUUCGGGAUAAGGAGUGCCACUGUAACAGGUGGUCGCAGAGAAUUGGUCCAAGCAACUGUUUAGCAAAAACACAGGUUUAUGCAAAACCGUAAGGUGAAGUAUAUGAGCUGACGCCUGCCCGGUGCUGGAAGGUUAAGGGGAGUGCUUAGCGUAAGCGAAGGUGCGAACUCAAGCCCCAGUAAACGGCGGCCGUAACUAUAACGGUCCUAAGGUAGCGAAAUUCCUUGUCGGGUAAGUUCCGACCCGCACGAAAGGCGUAAUGAUUUGGACGCUGUCUCGACAAUACAUCCGGUGAAAUUGAAAUACCAGUGAAGAUGCUGGUUACCUGCGCCAGGACGGAAAGACCCCAUGGAGCUUUACUCCAGCUUGAUACUGGGAUUCGGUAUUGCAUGUACAGGAUAGGUGGGAGACUAUGAGAUGAUGACGUCAGUUGUCAUGGAGUCGUUGUUGGGAUACCACCCUUGCAGUAUUGGGUUUCUAACCUGCCAUCGUUAUCCGGUGGGGGGACAAUGUCAGGUGGGGAGUUUGACUGGGGCGGUCGCCUCCGAAAGAGUAUCGGAGGCGCUCAAAGGUUCCCUCAGAAUGGUUGGAAACCAUUCAAAGAGUGCAAAGGCAGAAGGGAGCUUGACUGUGACACCGACGGGUGGAACAGGUACGAAAGUAGGACUUAGUGAUCCGGUGGUAUAAAGUGGGAUUGCCAUCGCUCAACGGAUAAAAGCUACCCUGGGGAUAACAGGCUUAUCACUCCCAAGAGUUCACAUCGACGGAGUGGUUUGGCACCUCGAUGUCGGCUCAUCGCAUCCUGGGGCUGUAGUAGGUCCCAAGGGUUGGGCUGUUCGCCCAUUAAAGCGGUACGCGAGCUGGGUUCAGAACGUCGUGAGACAGUUCGGUCCCUAUCCGGCGUGGGCGUAGGAUAUUUGAGAGGAGCUGUCCUUAGUACGAGAGGACCGGGAUGGACUGACCUCUGGUGCAUCUGUUGUUUUACCAAA